UCAGUUCGGAUCGCAGGCUGCAACCCGCCUGCGUGAAGUCGGAAUCGCUAGUAAUCGCGGAUCAGCAUGCCGCGGUGAAUACGUUCCCGGGCCUUGUACACACCGCCCGUCACACCAUGAGAGUCGGGAACACCCGAAGCCCGUAGCCUAACUUGCAAGAGAGGGCGCGGUCGAAGGUGGGUUCGAUAAUUGGGGUGAAGUCGUAACAAGGUAAC
This 215-nucleotide ribosomal RNA is filed under the name uncultured bacterium. RNAcentral's name for it is "partial 16S ribosomal RNA". It matches the Rfam family "Bacterial small subunit ribosomal RNA", at positions 1288 to 1500 of the family's 1533-position model. The record is from RNAcentral.